GAUGAAGAACGUAGCGAAAUGCGAUAAGUAAUGUGAAUUGCAGAAUUCAGUGAAUCAUCGAAUCUUUGAACGCACAUUGCGCCCGCCAGUAUUCUGGCGGGCAUGCCUGUUCGAGCGUCAUUUCAACCAUCAAGCCCCCGGGCUUGUGUUGGGGACCUGCGGCUGCCGCAGGCCCUGAAAAGCAGUGGCGGGCUCGCUGUCACACCGAGCGUAGUAGAUUUUAUCUCGCUCAGGGCGUGCUGCGGGUUCCGGCCGUUAAACCACCUUCAUAACCCAAGGUUGACCUCGGAUCAGGUAGGAAGACCCGCUGAACUUAAGCAUAUCAAUAAGCGGAGGAU
Molecule: unclassified non-coding RNA, 338 nt
Filed under: soil metagenome
Description: partial contains 5.8S ribosomal RNA, internal transcribed spacer 2, and large subunit ribosomal RNA
Rfam family: 5.8S ribosomal RNA (bases 1-120)
Source: RNAcentral